This 378-nucleotide ribosomal RNA is filed under the name uncultured eukaryote. Its description in RNAcentral is "partial 18S ribosomal RNA". It matches the Rfam family "Eukaryotic small subunit ribosomal RNA", at positions 592 to 976 of the family's 1831-position model. The record is from RNAcentral.
CAAUAGCGUAUAUUUAAGUUGUUGCAGUUAAAAAGCUCGUAGUUGGAUUUCGGGUGGGACGCAGCGGUCUCGCAUUGCGUUUGUACUGCUGCAGCCCUCCUUCUUGCCGGGGGCGGCCUCUCGGACUUCACUGUCUGGGGGUCAGAAUCGGCGAUGUUACUUUGAGUAAAUUAGAGUGUUCAAAGCAAGCUUACGCUCUGAAUAUAAUAGCAUGGGAUAACACGACAGGACUCUGGCCUAUCGUGUUGGUCUAUAGGACCAGAGUAACGAUUAAGAGGGACAGUUGGGGCCGUUCAUAUUCCGUAGUCAGAGGUGAAAUUCUUGGAUUUACGGAAGAUGAACUACUGCGAAAGCAUUCGGCAAGGAUGUUUUCGUUAA